CGGAGGAAAAGAAACUAACAAGGAUUCCCCUAGUAACUGCGAGUGAAGCGGGAAAAGCUCAAAUUUAAAAUCUGRCGGUCUCUGGCCGUYCGAGUUGUAAUCUAGAGAAGUGUUAUCCGCGUUGGACCGUGUACAAGUUUCCUGGAAUGGAACGUCAUAGAGGGUGAGAAUCCCGUCUUUGACACGGACUGCCAGUGCUUUGUGAUAYGCUCUCAAAGAGUCGAGUUGUUUGGGAAUGCAGCUCAAAAUGGGUGGUAAAUUCCAUCUAAAGCUAAAUAUUGGCGAGAGACCGAUAGCGAACAAGUACCGUGAGGGAAAGAUGAAAAGAACUUUGGAAAGAGAGUUAAACAGUACGUGAAAUUGCUGAAAGGGAAACGCUUGAAGUCAGUCGCGUUGGCCGGGAAUCAACCUUGCUUUUGCUGGGCGUACUUUCCGGUUGACGGGUCAGCAUCAAUUUUGACCGUUGGAUAAAGGUCAGGGGAAUGUGGCAUCUUCGGAUGUGUUAUAGCCCUUGGUCGCAUACAACGAUUGGGAUUGAGGAACUCAGCACGCCGCAAGGCCGGGAAUUUAUUCCACGUUCGUGCUUAGGAUGCUGGCAUAAUGGCUUUAAUCGACCCGUCUUGAAACACGGACCAAGGAGUCUAACAUGCCUGCGAGUGUUUGGGUGGAAAACCCGAGCGCGUAAUGAAAGUGAAAGUUGAGAUCCCUGUCGCGGGGAGCAUCGACGCCCGGACCAGACCUUUUGUGACGGAUCCGCGGUAGAGCAUGUAUGUUGGGACCCGAAAGAUGGUGAACUAUGCCUGAAUAGGGUGAAGCCAGAGGAAACUCUGGUGGAGGCUCGUAGCGAUUCUGACGUGCAAAUCGAUCGUCAAAUUUGGGUAUAGGGGCGAAAGACUAAUCGA
Molecule: ribosomal RNA, 902 nt
Filed under: Phaeogalera stagnina
Lineage: Eukaryota; Fungi; Basidiomycota; Agaricomycetes; Agaricales; Kuehneromycetaceae
Description: eukaryotic LSU rRNA
Rfam family: Eukaryotic large subunit ribosomal RNA
Source: RNAcentral